RNAcentral lists this ribosomal RNA (2903 nucleotides) under human gut metagenome. Its description in RNAcentral is "bacterial LSU rRNA". It matches the Rfam family "Bacterial large subunit ribosomal RNA". The record is from RNAcentral.
UUAAGCGACUAAGCGUACACGGUGGAUGCCCUGGCAGUCAGAGGCGAUGAAGGACGUGCUAAUCUGCGAUAAGCGUCGGUAAGGUGAUAUGAACCGUUAUAACCGGCGAUUUCCGAAUGGGGAAACCCAGUGUGUUUCGACACACUAUCAUUAACUGAAUCCAUAGGUUAAUGAGGCGAACCGGGGGAACUGAAACAUCUAAGUACCCCGAGGAAAAGAAAUCAACCGAGAUUCCCCCAGUAGCGGCGAGCGAACGGGGAGCAGCCCAGAGCCUGAAUCAGUGUGUGUGUUAGUGGAAGCGUCUGGAAAGGCGCGCGAUACAGGGUGACAGCCCCGUACACAAAAAUGCACAUGCUGUGAGCUCGAUGAGUAGGGCGGGACACGUGGUAUCCUGUCUGAAUAUGGGGGGACCAUCCUCCAAGGCUAAAUACUCCUGACUGACCGAUAGUGAACCAGUACCGUGAGGGAAAGGCGAAAAGAACCCCGGCGAGGGGAGUGAAAAAGAACCUGAAACCGUGUACGUACAAGCAGUGGGAGCACGCUUAGGCGUGUGACUGCGUACCUUUUGUAUAAUGGGUCAGCGACUUAUAUUCUGUAGCAAGGUUAACCGAAUAGGGGAGCCGAAGGGAAACCGAGUCUUAACUGGGCGUUAAGUUGCAGGGUAUAGACCCGAAACCCGGUGAUCUAGCCAUGGGCAGGUUGAAGGUUGGGUAACACUAACUGGAGGACCGAACCGACUAAUGUUGAAAAAUUAGCGGAUGACUUGUGGCUGGGGGUGAAAGGCCAAUCAAACCGGGAGAUAGCUGGUUCUCCCCGAAAGCUAUUUAGGUAGCGCCUCGUGAAUUCAUCUCCGGGGGUAGAGCACUGUUUCGGCAAGGGGGUCAUCCCGACUUACCAACCCGAUGCAAACUGCGAAUACCGGAGAAUGUUAUCACGGGAGACACACGGCGGGUGCUAACGUCCGUCGUGAAGAGGGAAACAACCCAGACCGCCAGCUAAGGUCCCAAAGUCAUGGUUAAGUGGGAAACGAUGUGGGAAGGCCCAGACAGCCAGGAUGUUGGCUUAGAAGCAGCCAUCAUUUAAAGAAAGCGUAAUAGCUCACUGGUCGAGUCGGCCUGCGCGGAAGAUGUAACGGGGCUAAACCAUGCACCGAAGCUGCGGCAGCGACACUAUGUGUUGUUGGGUAGGGGAGCGUUCUGUAAGCCUGUGAAGGUGUACUGUGAGGUAUGCUGGAGGUAUCAGAAGUGCGAAUGCUGACAUAAGUAACGAUAAAGCGGGUGAAAAGCCCGCUCGCCGGAAGACCAAGGGUUCCUGUCCAACGUUAAUCGGGGCAGGGUGAGUCGACCCCUAAGGCGAGGCCGAAAGGCGUAGUCGAUGGGAAACAGGUUAAUAUUCCUGUACUUGGUGUUACUGCGAAGGGGGGACGGAGAAGGCUAUGUUGGCCGGGCGACGGUUGUCCCGGUUUAAGCGUGUAGGCUGGUUUUCCAGGCAAAUCCGGAAAAUCAAGGCUGAGGCGUGAUGACGAGGCACUACGGUGCUGAAGCAACAAAUGCCCUGCUUCCAGGAAAAGCCUCUAAGCAUCAGGUAACAUCAAAUCGUACCCCAAACCGACACAGGUGGUCAGGUAGAGAAUACCAAGGCGCUUGAGAGAACUCGGGUGAAGGAACUAGGCAAAAUGGUGCCGUAACUUCGGGAGAAGGCACGCUGAUAUGUAGGUGAAGUGAUUUACCCAUGGAGCUGAAAUCAGUCGAAGAUACCAGCUGGCUGCAACUGUUUAUUAAAAACACAGCACUGUGCAAACACGAAAGUGGACGUAUACGGUGUGACGCCUGCCCGGUGCCGGAAGGUUAAUUGAUGGGGUUAGCGGUAACGCGAAGCUCUUGAUCGAAGCCCCGGUAAACGGCGGCCGUAACUAUAACGGUCCUAAGGUAGCGAAAUUCCUUGUCGGGUAAGUUCCGACCUGCACGAAUGGCGUAAUGAUGGCCAGGCUGUCUCCACCCGAGACUCAGUGAAAUUGAACUCGCUGUGAAGAUGCAGUGUACCCGCGGCAAGACGGAAAGACCCCGUGAACCUUUACUAUAGCUUGACACUGAACAUUGAGCCUUGAUGUGUAGGAUAGGUGGGAGGCUUUGAAGUGUGGACGCCAGUCUGCAUGGAGCCGACCUUGAAAUACCACCCUUUAAUGUUUGAUGUUCUAACGUUGACCCGUAAUCCGGGUUGCGGACAGUGUCUGGUGGGUAGUUUGACUGGGGCGGUCUCCUCCUAAAGAGUAACGGAGGAGCACGAAGGUUGGCUAAUCCUGGUCGGACAUCAGGAGGUUAGUGCAAUGGCAUAAGCCAGCUUGACUGCGAGCGUGACGGCGCGAGCAGGUGCGAAAGCAGGUCAUAGUGAUCCGGUGGUUCUGAAUGGAAGGGCCAUCGCUCAACGGAUAAAAGGUACUCCGGGGAUAACAGGCUGAUACCGCCCAAGAGUUCAUAUCGACGGCGGUGUUUGGCACCUCGAUGUCGGCUCAUCACAUCCUGGGGCUGAAGUAGGUCCCAAGGGUAUGGCUGUUCGCCAUUUAAAGUGGUACGCGAGCUGGGUUUAGAACGUCGUGAGACAGUUCGGUCCCUAUCUGCCGUGGGCGCUGGAGAAUUGAGGGGGGCUGCUCCUAGUACGAGAGGACCGGAGUGGACGCAUCACUGGUGUUCGGGUUGUCAUGCCAAUGGCACUGCCCGGUAGCUAAAUGCGGAAGAGAUAAGUGCUGAAAGCAUCUAAGCACGAAACUUGCCCCGAGAUGAGUUCUCCCUGACUCCUUGAGAGUCCUGAAGGAACGUUGAAGACGACGACGUUGAUAGGCCGGGUGUGUAAGCGCAGCGAUGCGUUGAGCUAACCGGUACUAAUGAACCGUGAGGCUUAACCUU